Molecule: small nuclear RNA, 108 nt
Organism: Suncus etruscus (white-toothed pygmy shrew)
Lineage: Eukaryota; Metazoa; Chordata; Mammalia; Eulipotyphla; Soricidae
Source: RefSeq, a predicted model, not a curated record
AUGCUCACUUUAAGCAGCAUAUCUACUAAAAUUAGAACAAUAUAGAGAUGAUUAGCCUGACCCUUCCACCAGGAUGACAUGCAAACUCAGGAAACAUUAUAUAUAAAG